AGAGGAUAAAGUUCUUAGUUGGCAUCAGUACAGGCUGUUCUCAAGCCAAGGCCAAGUGAGUGCCCUUAAAAUGCCAGACAGAGAGGAGGUAGAAAGGGUUUUGGCAGAUAUCUUGUUAAAUUAAAUCUCUAAACAAACACAACAAUAAAUUCCACUUGAUAAGUGACGCAUCUAUAGCAAACUCCAGAAAGGUUGUUUGGAACCAGCAGCAUGGUUCUCCAGUGUUUGCAGAGCAAAAGACAGGGAGUGUGAAAUAAUCUGUGUGGGUGGACUAAUUGACUACUUGCUUGACUUCCCUGAAACAAUUGAUCCAGCCUAGCAGCAAGUCAACAGCUAACUCUGGGACGAAGGAGGGCUUUGUUUUCCCCCUGUUGUAGACACAAUCCAUGAGGGCCUUAAACAUGUCUCUGCAUCGUGCCA
Molecule: long non-coding RNA, 420 nt
Filed under: Oncorhynchus kisutch (coho salmon)
Lineage: Eukaryota; Metazoa; Chordata; Actinopteri; Salmoniformes; Salmonidae
Description: lncRNA (ENSOKIG00005042633.1)
Source: RNAcentral